Molecule: small nuclear RNA, 104 nt
Organism: Sorex araneus (European shrew)
Lineage: Eukaryota; Metazoa; Chordata; Mammalia; Eulipotyphla; Soricidae
Source: Ensembl
GUGCUCACUUUGGCAGCACAUAUACUAAAAUUGGAACAAUACAGAGAUUAGUAUGUACUCUGCACAGGGAUGACACUCAAAUUCGUGAAGCAUUCCAUAUUUUU